UGUGGGGAUGUGGGGAUAUGGAGACAUGGGGAUGUGAGGACAUGGAGACGUGGGGAUGUGGGGACGUGGGAACAUGGAGAUGUGGGGAUGUGGGGACAUGGAGACAUGGGGAUGUGGGGACUUGGGGACAUGGGGAUGUGGGGAUCUGGAGAUGUGGGGACAUGGGGACAUGGAGAUGUGGGGACAUGGGGAUGUGGGGAUGUGGGGACAUGGGGACAUGGGGAUGUGGGGACAUGGAAAUGUGGGGACAUGGAGAUGUGGAGAUGUGGGGACAUGGGGACGUGGAGAUGUGGGAACAUGGAGAUGUGGGGAUUUGCGGACGUGGGGAUGUUGAGAUGUGGGGACAUGAGGACGUGGAGAUGUGGGAAUGUGGGGACAUGGAGAUAUGGGGAUAUGGAGAUGUGGGAAUGUUGUGAUGUGGCGACAUGGGGAUGCGUCCCCUCUGGCCACUCACCCAUAGGUUUCUGUCCAAAGCAGCACAGUGUGGACCUGGCAGUGCGAGGGCAGCGCAGCAGACCCACAUCUGCAGCGCCCAGCGGCAGCCCUGCGUCCCUGCAUGGAGCAGCUGCAGUUCCCCAGGGCCGGCAGCAGGACGAGGGCAGCCCGCAGCUCCACACCAGGGAUUUCUUCCACUCCCAGCGCACCCUGACGCUUCCCCAGAGGAAAGGAACUCGGGACAGCUUGGAUCUCCUCACCGGUAAGACCCAACGGGCCUGGCUAUGGGGUGGGGGUUCCUGUGCCCUACAGCACAGCCCCGCUGCCCCCAUAGGGAAGAGAGCCGCCUCCAGGCUGGAGAAAAGCAGGCUGAAGGCCGGCUCCGAGCUGACCCUGCUGCCCCACGGCAAGUCACCCACGGCCAGCUGCGAGGUGUGGGACUGCAGCCACCACCAGGGCUCUUUCCUUUCGCCCCUCCUGAAGCGCGCUGCGUCCGCCAGGAGCGCCUGGAAGCGUCCCGCAUCCAUGGGCAGCACGGAGAGAGGGAAGGUGCUGCAGAAGAGAAAGGAGUGGGAGAUGAAGGCAGCGAUGUGAGCGGAGUGAUGCUGCGCCGCGCGGGGACCGAGCCGGGCUGCGGUGCUGGAGAGCUGCUAUGGGGCCGUGCUGGGGGGGCACACCGGCACCCCAAACCUUCUGUGGGGUCACAUCGGCACCCCAAACCUUCUGUGGGGUCACACCGGCACCCCAAACCUUCUGUGGGGUCACUGCUUCUCUGUGUUUUCGGUGUGGGUUUCCCAGUGGGGCGGAGAUGGUGGAAAUGGUCCCAAUGGUGCCCAGCUGUGCCCAACGGACCCCAAUAGAACCCAAUGGACCCCAGUGGUGCCCAGUAGAACCCAGUGGUGCCCAACAGACCCCCAAUGGUGCCCAACAGACCCCCAAUGGUGCCCAACAGAACCCAAUGGUGCCCAGCGGAUCCCAGUGGUGCCCAACGGACCCCAGUAGAACCCAAUGGACCCCAAUCGUGCCCAAUAGACUCCAGUGGUGCCCAAUGGAUCCCAAUGGUGCCCAACGGACCCCAAUGGUGCCCAGUAGAACCCAAUGGUGCCCAACGGACCCCAAUAGAACCCAACGGACCCCAGUGGUGCCCAAUAGAACCCAGUGGUGCCCAAU
This is a long non-coding RNA of Phasianus colchicus (ring-necked pheasant), 1605 nucleotides long. The record is from Ensembl. NCBI's taxonomy places the organism in Eukaryota, Metazoa, Chordata, Aves, Galliformes, Phasianidae.